UGCUUGGCGACCAUAGCGAAAUGGAACCACCUGAUCCCUUCUCGAACUCAGAAGUGAAACGUUUCAGCGCCAAUGGUAGUGUGGGGUCUCCCCAUGCGAGAGUAGGUCAUCGCCAAGCU
This 119-nucleotide ribosomal RNA is filed under the name Thiomicrospira microaerophila. Lineage: Bacteria; Pseudomonadati; Pseudomonadota; Gammaproteobacteria; Thiotrichales; Piscirickettsiaceae. The record is from RNAcentral.